UACGGAGGAGGCAAGCCAUAUCCGGAAUUAUUGGGCGUAAAGGGUGCGUAGGUGGUCAGACAAGUCCCAUGUCAAAGCGUGGUGCUUAACGCCAUACAGGCGUGGGAAACUGUGUGACUAGAGUACAGCAGGGGCAGGAAGAAUUCCCGGUGUAGCGGUGAAAUGCGUAGAUAUCGGGAAGAACACCAGUGGCGCAAGCGUUCUGCUGGGCUGUAACUGACACUGAGGCACGAAAGCUAGGGGAGCGAAUGGG
RNAcentral lists this ribosomal RNA (253 nucleotides) under uncultured bacterium. Its description in RNAcentral is "partial 16S ribosomal RNA". It matches the Rfam family "Bacterial small subunit ribosomal RNA", at positions 524 to 776 of the family's 1533-position model. The record is from RNAcentral.